GAGGGUAUAGGUCAGUGGUAGAGCACAUGCUUAGCAUACAUGAGGUCCUGGGUUCAAUCCCCAGUACCUCCA
Molecule: transfer RNA, 72 nt
Filed under: Camelus bactrianus (Bactrian camel)
Lineage: Eukaryota; Metazoa; Chordata; Mammalia; Artiodactyla; Camelidae
Also listed under: 3 other names
Rfam family: tRNA
About the family: Transfer RNA (tRNA) molecules are approximately 80 nucleotides in length. Their secondary structure includes four short double-helical elements and three loops (D, anti-codon, and T loops). Further hydrogen bonds mediate the characteristic L-shaped molecular structure. tRNAs have two regions of fundamental functional importance: the anti-codon, which is responsible for specific mRNA codon recognition, and the 3' end, to which the tRNAs corresponding amino acid is attached (by aminoacyl-tRNA synthetases). tRNAs cope with the degeneracy of the genetic code in two manners: having more than one tRNA (with a specific anti-codon) for a particular amino acid; and 'wobble' base-pairing, i.e. permitting non-standard base-pairing at the 3rd anti-codon position.
Source: Rfam by way of RNAcentral